Molecule: long non-coding RNA, 391 nt
Organism: Gallus gallus (chicken)
Lineage: Eukaryota; Metazoa; Chordata; Aves; Galliformes; Phasianidae
Source: Ensembl
CAGGUUUCUGCGCUGAGCAGGAAGGUCUGACUGCCUGAGGCACUGAGAUUAGAAAGUUGCUGUGUGAGUUCAGGGAACAGCCUGGAGGACAUGGAACGUUUGGGGAGGAAAUGAAGCUGCCCGAAGGCUGACAACUUUGGCAAAGCAACCAUGGAGAAAGGGAACAUGCCAACAGACAUGAAAUUCUUCAGUGUCUUGAAUGGGAAAAGAAAAAAAUGGGAGCUUGACAGGAGUGGUAAAGGAUCUGUCAGUGGGAAUGCUGAGACCCUCUGGUGAUGUGACAAUUUUUAUGUGGGGUGGAAUAGAAGAAUCAGAGUGGAGAAGUAACAUUUGGAGUUGAAUCCCAGCCCCCCUUUAGAUAUUGAUAGGUCGCUCUCAAGUCUCUCCAGAG